RNAcentral lists this ribosomal RNA (493 nucleotides) under uncultured bacterium. Its description in RNAcentral is "bacterial SSU rRNA". It matches the Rfam family "Bacterial small subunit ribosomal RNA", at positions 28 to 529 of the family's 1533-position model. The record is from RNAcentral.
GACGAACGCUGGCGGCGUGCUUAAAACAUGCAAGUCGAACGGACUUCUCAUGAAGCUUGCGAUUGAGAAGUUAGUGGCGGACGGGUGAGUAACGCGUGGGCAACCUGCCCCUGAGCCCGGGAUAACAGUUCGAAAGGACUGCUAAGACCGGAUAUACUUGCGGGGAAGCAUUUCACUGCAAGGAAAGGGAACGCUCAGGGGAUGGGCCCGCGUCCCAUUAGCUAGUUGGUGAGGUAACGGCCCACCAAGGCGACGAUGGGUAGCCGGCCUGAGAGGGUGAACGGCCACACUGGGACUGAGACACGGCCCAGACUCCUACGGGAGGCAGCAGUUGGGAAUCUUCGGCAAUGGGCGCAAGCCUGACCGAGCAACGCCGCGUGAGUGAUGAAGGUUUUCGGAUUGUAAAGCUCUGUCUUCCGGGACGAUAAUGACGGUACCGGAGGAGGAAGCCACGGCUAACUACGUGCCAGCAGCCGCGGUAAGCAUACUCGUA